Molecule: ribosomal RNA, 584 nt
Filed under: uncultured bacterium
Lineage: Bacteria
Description: partial 16S ribosomal RNA
Rfam family: Bacterial small subunit ribosomal RNA
Source: RNAcentral
UGGGGAAUUUUGGACAAUGGGCGAAAGCCUGAUCCAGCAAUGCCGCGUGUGUGAAGAAGGCCUUCGGGUUGUAAAGCACUUUUGUCCGGAAAGAAAUCCUUGGCUCUAAUACAGUCGGGGGAUGACGGUACCGGAAGAAUAAGCACCGGCUAACUACGUGCCAGCAGCCGCGGUAAUACGUAGGGUGCAAGCGUUAAUCGGAAUUACUGGGCGUAAAGCGUGCGCAGGCGGUUUGCUAAGACCGAUGUGAAAUCCCCGGGCUCAACCUGGGAACUGCAUUGGUGACUGGCAGGCUAGAGUAUGGCAGAGGGGGGUAGAAUUCCACGUGUAGCAGUGAAAUGCGUAGAGAUGUGGAGGAAUACCGAUGGCGAAGGCAGCCCCCCUGGGCCAAUACUGACGCUCAUGCACGAAAGCGUGGGGAGCAAACAGGAUUAGAUACCCUGGUAGUCCACGCCCUAAACGAUGUCAACUAGUUGUUGGGGAUUCAUUUCCUUAGUAACGUAGCUAACGCGUGAAGUUGACCGCCUGGGGGAGUACGGUCGCAAGAUUAAAACUCAAAUGAAUUGACGGGGUCAUAGCUGUUU